Long non-coding RNA from Salmo trutta (river trout), 2082 nucleotides. The record is from Ensembl. Lineage: Eukaryota; Metazoa; Chordata; Actinopteri; Salmoniformes; Salmonidae.
AUGGAGAAGACUUAUACAACACCAUCUAUGGGGGAGAUUGUUCCUCCAACUCCUGCUGGGGAUGGCAUUUCUGCCUCUACUGGUGAAAGAGCAGCAGAAUCAGCUUCUAGAGAACUGUUGUAUAUGGACGAGACGUAUAAACCACCAUCAAUGGCAGACCUACCAGGAUCCCCAGGUGCUGUUGGAGGCAUUUCACCAGCAGUGUCUGCUGGAUGUUCACAAAGUGACAUGGCAGAAAAAGCUCCCUCAGAAACAGCAGUAGGCAGACGCACAUCUUCCAGAGUACCUCCUAAAGUUCCUCCACAAACAUCCUGGAGCUCAGCUACAGGCUUGGCAUCUAAGUCCAGUUUGGCCAGGGUUCCCUCUGUGUCUCUCAGUGAUGGUGCAAAAGAACCAGCUCAGAUAGACAAAACACUGUCAAUGGAGGAGCUACUGGCAUCUCCAUUGUCUUCUCAGUGGGCAAUGUCACCAGCCGGUUCUGAAAGAGUGUCCUCAGUCAGGAUACCCAGUAGAGAGGAGAGUGUGGGGAGAACAGCAGAGACACCAGAGAGGUGCACAUCUCCUGGAGCUUCUCCAAGAGUUUCUCCACAAACCUCUCUUGUCUCAGCUCAUGUUGUUAAAUCUCUGUCUGGUACAGAUAUUUCUCAACAAUCCAGUCUGCCUAGGAUUCCCUCUGCACCAUCAAUAGACAGAUACACAUCUCCCAGAGUUUCUCAAAGAGUUUCUCCACAAUCCAGUCUGGCCAGGAUUCCCUCUGCACCAUCAAUGGAGGAGCUACUGGUGUCUCCAUCUGCUUCUGUUGGUAGAAUUUCUACAGCAGUUUCAAGACGAUCUUUAAGAAGUAGUUUGUCAGAAAGAGCUCCUUCUGAAACAGUCAUAAGAUAUUCUGAAAGCGUUUUAUCAGGAAGAGCUCUCUCUAAAACAGAACUAGUCGAUGCAGCCCAGAGAGGGUCCCCAGUCAGGAUACCCAGUAGACAGGAGAGUGUGGGGAGAACAGCAGAGACACCAGAGAGACACACAUCUCCCAGAGUAUCACCAAGAGUUUCUCCAAGAGUUUCUCCACAAACCUCUCGUACAUUGGCUCAUGUUGGUGAAUCUCUGUCUGGUACAGAUAUUUCUCAACAAUCCAGUCUGCCUAGGAUUCCCUCUGCACCAUCAAUGGACAGAUACACAUCUCCCAAAGUUUCUCAAAGAGUUUCUCCACAAUCCAGUCUGGCCAGGCUUCCCUCUACACCAUCAAUGAAGGAGCUACUGUUGUCUCCAUCUGCUUCUGUUGGUAUAAUUUCACCAGCAGUUUCAAGAAAACCUUCAGAAACAGCUCCUUCUGAAACAGUCAUACGAUAUUUUGAAAGUGAUUUAUCAGGAAGAGCUUUCUCUGAAACAGAGCUAGUUGAUGCUGCACUGAGAGUGUCCUCAGUCAGGAUACCCAGUAGAGAGGAGAGUGUGGGGAGAACAGCAGAGACACCAGAGAGACACACAUCUCCCAGAGUAUCACCAAGAGCUUCUCCAAGAGUUUCUCCACAAACAUCUCUUCUAUCAGCUCAAGUUGGUGAAUCUCUGUCUGGUACAGACAUUGCACCACAAUCCAGUCUGCCCGGGAUUCCAUAUGCAUCAUCAAUAGAGGAGCUACUGAUGUCUCUAACUGCUUCUGUUGAAAGAAUUUCACCUGCAGUUUCAAGAUCUUCAAGAAGUAGUUUGUUAGAAAGUGCUUCCUCUGAAAAAGCAACAAUUAAAGCAGUAUACAGAGAAGAGAGUGUGGAGAGAACAGCAGAAACAACAGAGAGUCACACAACUCAACAAGUGUCUUUCAGAGCACCUUUGGCAACAUCUAAGACAAGAGUAUUUUCUGAUGUGGCAAUUUUGUACAGACCAUCCAUUGCUGAAGGCCUUUGUCUUGAGGUCUUGGACAUGGAGUCUGACCAGGUGAAAACACCAAUGAGUGACAUCACUGCACAAGCUCUGUCUCACACUGCAGCAAUGGAAACAGCUCAGGAUACAGUCAGGAUACCCAGUAGAAAGGAGAGUGCAAGGAGAGCAGCAGAAACACAAACAUAUUUUGCAUCAGGCAAGUAUCAAGAGUAA